This 155-nucleotide non-coding RNA is filed under the name Endozoicomonas numazuensis. Its description in RNAcentral is "FMN sequence". It matches the Rfam family "FMN riboswitch aptamer (RFN element)". Rfam says of the family: The RFN element is a highly conserved domain that is found frequently in the 5'-untranslated regions of prokaryotic mRNAs that encode for flavin mononucleotide (FMN) biosynthesis and transport proteins. This element is a metabolite-dependent riboswitch that directly binds FMN in the absence of proteins. Lineage: Bacteria; Pseudomonadati; Pseudomonadota; Gammaproteobacteria; Oceanospirillales; Endozoicomonadaceae. The record is from Rfam by way of RNAcentral.
ACUUAUUCUCAGGGCGGGGUGAAACUCCCCACCGGCGGUAAUUGUCCAGAUGUCAGACAAAAGCCCGCGAGCGCCUGUUGUUCAGUACAACAGGGUCAGCAGAUCUGGUGCGAAUCCAGAGCCGACGGUUAUAGUCCGGAUAGGAGAGAAUGAAG